UACGUAGGGUGCAAGCGUUAAUCGGAAUUACUGGGCGUAAGGCGUGCGCAGGCGGUUUUGUAAGUCUGUCGUGAAAGCCCCGGGCUUAACCUGGGAAUGGCGAUGGUGACUGCAAGGCUAGAGUUUGGCAGAGGGGGGUAGAAUUCCACGUGUAGCAGUGAAAUGCGUAGAGAUGUGGAGGAACACCGAUGGCGAAGGCAGCCCCCUGGGUCAAGACUGACGCUCAUGCACGAAAGCGUGGGGAGCAAACAGG
RNAcentral lists this ribosomal RNA (253 nucleotides) under uncultured bacterium. RNAcentral describes it as "partial 16S ribosomal RNA". It matches the Rfam family "Bacterial small subunit ribosomal RNA", at positions 524 to 776 of the family's 1533-position model. The record is from RNAcentral.